Molecule: long non-coding RNA, 274 nt
Organism: Caretta caretta (loggerhead turtle)
Lineage: Eukaryota; Metazoa; Chordata; Testudines; Cheloniidae
Source: RefSeq, a predicted model, not a curated record
GGAGCAGAAGUGAGGCCGGCGAGACAUCACCAGAUGAGGGUGCACUGGCAAACUAAGCUAAUUCCCAGGACAGCCAGCUGGAGAUGCCACAGCGAGUGGCCUAAGUUCUGUGCUGUUCUUGAACUCUCACUCCUUGGAACCUUUCCUACCAGGAAUGCUGCUUUGUUAAAAAGCUCCAGGUUUGGGAAGAAAGGGGAAGUGGUGGCGGCUGAUGCUGCAGGAAGGCUGUGAGGAGCCAGAGGAGAGCACAAGGCUGGCAGAGACCUGUGGAUGA